RNAcentral lists this ribosomal RNA (463 nucleotides) under uncultured beta proteobacterium. Its description in RNAcentral is "bacterial SSU rRNA". It matches the Rfam family "Bacterial small subunit ribosomal RNA", at positions 398 to 854 of the family's 1533-position model. The record is from RNAcentral. Lineage: Bacteria; Pseudomonadati; Pseudomonadota; Betaproteobacteria.
CGCGUGCGGGAAGAAGGCCUUCGGGUUGUAAACCGCUUUUGUCAGGGAAGAAACGCUCUGGGUUAAUACCUCGGGGUAAUGACGGUACCUGAAGAAUAAGCACCGGCUAACUACGUGCCAGCAGCCGCGGUAAUACGUAGGGUGCAAGCGUUAAUCGGAAUUACUGGGCGUAAAGCGUGCGCAGGCGGUUAUGCAAGACAGAUGUGAAAUCCCCGGGCUCAACCUGGGAACUGCAUUUGUGACUGCAUGGCUAGAGUACGGUAGAGGGGGAUGGAAUUCCGCGUGUAGCAGUGAAAUGCGUAGAUAUGCGGAGGAACACCGAUGGCGAAGGCAAUCCCCUGGACCUGUACUGACGCUCAUGCACGAAAGCGUGGGGAGCAAACAGGAUUAGAUACCCUGGUAGUCCACGCCCUAAACGAUGUCAACUGGUUGUUGGGAGGGUUUCUUCUCAGUAACGUAGCUA